Molecule: ribosomal RNA, 459 nt
Filed under: uncultured bacterium
Lineage: Bacteria
Description: partial 16S ribosomal RNA
Rfam family: Bacterial small subunit ribosomal RNA
Source: RNAcentral
CCUACGGGUGGCAGCAGUGAGGAAUAUUGGUCAAUGGCCGCAGGGCUGAACCAGCCAAGUCGCGUGAGGGAUGACGGUCCUAUGGAUUGUAAACCUCUUUUGUCAGGGAGCAAAGGGCGCCACGUGUGGCGUUUCGCGAGUACCUGAAGAAACAGCAUCGGCUAACUCCGUGCCAGCAGCCGCGGUACUACGGUGGAUGCGAGCCUAAUCGGGUUUUAUUGGGUUUAAAGGGUGCGCAGGGGGAAUGUCAAGUCAGCGGUAAAAUUUCGGGGCUCAACCACGUCGUGCCGUUGAAACUGGCGUACUUGAGUGAGCGAGAGGUAUGCGGAAUGCGAGGUGUAGCGGUGAAAUGCAUAGAUAUCACGCAGAACUCCGGUUGCGAAGGCAGCAUUCCGGCGCUCAACUGACGCUCAUGCACGAAAGCGUGGGUAUCGAACAGGAUUAGAUACCCUUGUAGUC